Non-coding RNA from Zootermopsis nevadensis, 500 nucleotides. NCBI's taxonomy places the organism in Eukaryota, Metazoa, Arthropoda, Insecta, Blattodea, Termopsidae. The record is from RefSeq and is a predicted model, not a curated record.
UCCAGCUCAAAGUCCAUGAGGCGGCUAGGUCCAAACACUGGGGCAGCCCCUUCCACCGGACACGUCUGGCCGUUAGGUCGCCGGAUUGGAGUCCCAGUUAUGACAACAGAAGAUGCUCGGCCAUGAUAGGCUACAGGUUCUUAGAAAUCAGACGGGAAGACAAAAUAUUUUGAACUGAGAAGUAGCAAGCAUUUCCGGAAAGCUCCAGAAUUACUCACUGGAUUAUGAUAAACUUCAGUAUUGCAUGUAUACAAAGAAAGUCGUCAGUUAAAUUUAACUUUGUUUUGUACUGUUCCAAUAAAGGUACAUGACUCAAACAGAACUGUCUCAAUUUUCUAAAGGCAGUUUAUUGCUUAAAUAAUUGGUAUAUAACAUAACCUGUACAUCUCAGUAAGAUCUAAAACUUUUAUUGCUAUUUUGAUACAUGGCCAACUGGAUCAUGUGUAAGCAGCCAAUAAAAGUUAACUCUGUUUGUCUAUAAUAAAAACAACAACCUUUUA